Non-coding RNA from Powellomyces hirtus, 84 nucleotides. Lineage: Eukaryota; Fungi; Chytridiomycota; Chytridiomycetes; Spizellomycetales; Powellomycetaceae. The record is from the annotation of a GenBank genome assembly.
CCGGCCAUAGCUCAGCUGGAAGAGCAUCAGACUGUAAAACAAAUAGCUAUCUGGGUGUCCCCAGUUCGAUCCUGGGUGGCCGGA